Molecule: ribosomal RNA, 2404 nt
Filed under: marine metagenome
Description: eukaryotic LSU rRNA
Rfam family: Eukaryotic large subunit ribosomal RNA
Source: RNAcentral
CGGGACUUGCUUAAUUGAAGCCCUGCAACGAAUCGGAGUGCCCAGUGGGCCAUUUUUGGUAAGCAGAACUGGCGAUGUGGGAUGAACCAAACGUCGGGUUAAAGUGCCAAAGUGGACGCUCAUCAGAUCCCAUGAAAGGUGUUGCUACCUUAAGACAGCAGGACGGUGGCCAUGGAAGUCGGAACCCGCUAAGGAGUGUGUAACAACUCACCUGCCGAAGGUACUAGCCCUGAAAAUGGAUGGCGCUAAAGCGUCCCACUUAUACCCGACCGUUUUCGCAGAGCAGUCCCCAUGCGGACCCAACGCGAAAACGAGUAGGAAGGUCGCAGGGGUGGCGCCGAAGCCUUUUGAGUGUGAACUUGGGUGGAGCCGCCCCUGGUGCAGAUCUUGGUGAUAGUAGCAAAUACUCCAGAGAGGCCCUGGAGGACCGAUGUGGAGAAGGGUUUCGUGUGAACAGCUGUUGGACACGAGUCAGUCGAUCCUAAGGCUUAGCGGAAGCGUUAAUCAAACGUUUGGCGAUUUCACAGUAAUAUGAGAGAAACCAAAUCGUAGCCGAAAGGGAAUGUGGUCCAUAUUCCACAACCUGGUAGCGUAACCUGUCGGACCCUCGUAUCCGUCGUGGCAACACGAAACGACCCAAAGACGCCCACCGAAACUCUGGGAAGAGUUGUCUUUUCUGCAUAAGCCGCCGAGCCCCUGGAAUCCUCUCGCAGGGAGAAUGGGUUUUGGUAUUUGGCGAAGAGUGCUGCAGUUCUCGCAGCAUCCACGAGCGGUCGGUGGGACCUUGAAAAUUUGGGUGUAGGUGACGGCGAUUUCGCACCAGCUCGUACCCAUAUCCGCAGCAGGUCUCCAAGGUUAACAGCCUCUGGUCGAUAGAAUAAUGUAGGUAAGGGAAGUCGGCAAAUUGGAUCCGUAACUUCGGGAUAAGGAUUGGCUCUGAGGGUCGGGGAGGUCGGGCUUUGCGCAGGAAGCGACUGUUUCUACCGGCGGGCCUGAGUAAGUCCUUCGGGGCGAACUCGGUCCCGUUCUCAGGACUUCGUGGAUUGCCAUUGCUUCGCUGCCCCCAGGUUUCGGCCUGGGUGUGCAGUUCGACCUUCGAUCAACGACCGGCUCAGAACUGGCACGGACAAGGGGAAUCCGACUGUCUAAUUAAAACAAAGCAUUGCGAUGGUCAGAGAGUGAUGCUGACGCAAUGUGAUUUCUGCCCAGUGCUCUGAAUGUCAAUGUGAAGAGAUUCGUUUAAGCGCGGGUAAACGGCGGAAGUAACUAUGACUUUCUUAAGGUAGCCAAAUGCCUCGUCAUCUAAUUAGUGACGCGCAUGAAUGGAUUAACGAGAUUCCCACUGUCCCUAUCUACUAUCUAGCGAAAUCGCAGCCAAGGGAACGGACUUGGGAAAAUCAGCGGGGAAAGAAGACCCUGUUGAGUUUGACUCUAGUCUCCUAUUGUGGAGGAGCAUCUCUGGCGUAGAAUAGGGAGGAGGCUUUGCCGCCAGUGAAAUACUCCUACGGAGAUCGCUCCUCUGCUUACUCGGUGAGGCGGGGUACAGAGACUUUUGUCUUUGUUUUCUCGAAUCAAGCGCGGGAGCUUUGUCUCCUGUGCGAUCCGCUCCGAGGACAUUGCGAGGCGGGGAGUUUGACUGGGGCGGUACAUCUGUCAAAUGAUAACGCAGGUGUCCUAAGGCCAGCUCAGUGAGGACGGAAACCUCACGUAGAGCAUAAGGGCAAAUGCUGGCUUGACCUCUCCCUUCAGUACGGGGCGAGGAGCAGAAAUGUCGGCCUAACGAUCCUCUUUAUUUCGGAGUUUGAAGAAAGAGGUGUCAGAAAAAUUACCACAGGGAUAACUGGCUUGUGGCCGCCAAGAGUUCAAAUCGACGUGGCUUUUUGAUCCUUCGAUGUCGGCUCUUCCUAUCAUUGCGAAGCAGAAUUCGCACAGCGUCGGAUUGUUCACCCGCUAAUAGGGAACGUGAGCUGGGUUUAGACCGUCGUGAGACAGGUUAGUUUUACCCUACUGAUAACUCGUCGUUGCGAUAGUAAUCCUGCUCAGUACGAGAGGAACCGCAGGUUCGGACAUUUGGUAUACGUACUUAGCCGAUAGGCUAAUGGUGCGAAGCUCAGUCCCUAGGAUUAUGCCUGAACGCCUCUAAGGCAGAAUCCUGUCUAGUCACGGCAACGAUACUGUCGGACCUCCUUUUUGCUCGGGGAAGGAUAGUCUUUGACUCCAUCCCGAUCCAAGGAACUUUGUUUUGUGCUGUAAGUGCGCUUAACUCUCCUGAUCACCCACUUGGCAGAGUGGAGGUCCCAAAUCGUCUGUAGACGACUUAUGUACCGACCGAGGUGUCGUACUUAGUAGAGCGGCUAUCACACCGCGAUCUAUUGAGACUCAGCCUUUUUGAUCGGAAGAUUUG